Molecule: ribosomal RNA, 253 nt
Filed under: uncultured bacterium
Lineage: Bacteria
Also listed under: 1 other name
Description: partial 16S ribosomal RNA
Rfam family: Bacterial small subunit ribosomal RNA
Source: RNAcentral
UACGUAGGGUGCAAGCGUUAAUCGGAAUUACUGGGCGUAAAGCGUACGCAGGCGGCUUUGCAAGACAGGUGUGAAAUCCCCGGGCCUAACCUGGGAACUGCAUUUGUGACUGCAUGGCUAGAGUACGGUAGAGGGGGAUGGAAUUCCGCGUGUAGCAGUGAAAUGCGUAGAUAUGCGGAGGAACACCGAUGGCGAAGGCAAUCCCCUGGACCUGUACUGACGCUCAUGCACGAAAGCGUGGGGAGCAAACAGG